UGGGGAAUAUUGCACAAUGGGUGCAAGCCUGAUGCAGCCAUGCCGCGUGUGUGAAGAAGGCCUUCGGGUUGUAAAGCACUUUCAGCGGGGAGGAAGGCGAUAAGGUUAAUAACCUUGUCGAUUGACGUUACCCGCAGAAGAAGCACCGGCUAACUCCGUGCCAGCAGCCGCGGUAAUACGGAGGGUGCAAGCGUUAAUCGGAAUUACUGGGCGUAAAGCGCACGCAGGCGGUCUGUCAAGUCGGAUGUGAAAUCCCCGGGCUCAAUCUGGGAACUGCAUUCGAAACUGGCAGGCUAGAGUCUUGUAGAGGGGGGUAGAAUUCCAGGUGUAGCGGUGAAAUGCGUAGAGAUCUGGAAGAAUACCGGUGGCGAAGGCGGCCCCCUGGACAAAGACUGACGCUCAGGUGCGAAAGCGUGGGGAGCAAACAGG
This 429-nucleotide ribosomal RNA is filed under the name Chloroflexota bacterium. RNAcentral's name for it is "Chloroflexi bacterium partial 16S ribosomal RNA". It matches the Rfam family "Bacterial small subunit ribosomal RNA", at positions 355 to 776 of the family's 1533-position model. Lineage: Bacteria; Bacillati; Chloroflexota. The record is from RNAcentral.